This 90-nucleotide ribosomal RNA is filed under the name Elizabethkingia anophelis. RNAcentral also lists the same sequence under 1 other name. The record is from RNAcentral. Lineage: Bacteria; Pseudomonadati; Bacteroidota; Flavobacteriia; Flavobacteriales; Weeksellaceae.
GGGGCUCACCUGUUCCCAUUCCGAACACAGAAGUUAAGCCCACCAGCGCCGAUGGUACUGCUAACGCGGGAGAGUAGGUCGCCGCCAGUU